RNAcentral lists this ribosomal RNA (253 nucleotides) under uncultured bacterium. RNAcentral describes it as "partial 16S ribosomal RNA". It matches the Rfam family "Bacterial small subunit ribosomal RNA", at positions 524 to 776 of the family's 1533-position model. The record is from RNAcentral.
GACGGAGGGUGCUAGCGUUGUUCGGAAUGACUGGGCGUAAAGGGCGCGUAGGCGGCUCGUGAAGUCGGGUGUGAAAGCCCGGGGCUCAACCCCGGAACGGCAUCCGAUACUGGCGGGCUUGAGACCGGGAGAGGAGGGUGGAAUACCCAGUGUAGAGGUGAAAUUCGUAGAUAUUGGGAAGAACACCGGUGGCGAAGGCGGCGCUCUGGACCGAGACUGACGCUGAGGCGCGAAAGCGUGGGGAGCAGACAGG